RNAcentral lists this long non-coding RNA (904 nucleotides) under Spirodela polyrhiza (greater duckweed). RNAcentral describes it as "long non-coding RNA (SPOL_LNC000247)". The record is from RNAcentral. Lineage: Eukaryota; Viridiplantae; Streptophyta; Magnoliopsida; Alismatales; Araceae.
AGAGAGAGAGAGAGGCGAACGCUCUAAUCUGGGGCUUCUGCCGGAGGUAACUCGCCGUCCAUCCUCGUUCGGUUAUCCUCUUCCCGUGUGUUGGGUUCUGGGGAAGUCGGAUGGGGAUCGAUCCAACUUCCAGCGGUCGUCAGGACUAGGAGGCUUCUCGUCAGAGCGGAAAUCGGUGUGCUCAGAUUCCGGGUACCGAUUGCUGCUGUCUAUUUUGGAGAGUUUGUUAUUGGGAAUGGGACGAUUCGGCGGGGAAAGCUAGGAAUCUGAGGGUUGGCGGGGGAAUUAACCCCUACGCCGGAUGGAUCUUUAGCUGAGAACAUUCGAUCAGUGUUGUGAAUUUCGAUCGGCAGCGCACAUGGACUGCUGUACCGGGGAUAGCCAGGGCCUUAUAGGCGUGGCUGGCGAUUUCUUUGAGGUCAAGCAGGAUUGCCGAGACGACGUCCCCAAGACCCGGUUUAAGCCGAAGGUUGGCUACCUAGAUUUUUCUCUCAUAUUUACAUUUCCCCGUUGAAAUGUUGGCAAUCGUGGUGGCAUUGCAUGUGUAGAGUCUCUCGAGGCUGAUACUUUGAGACUUUGUAUGUUGUAAUCUUUGGCAAGAUCAUCCCUACUUCAUGUUUUUGGUUGAUUGUGCAAGAGGAUCAUUGUGAUGUUUGGUACCAUAUAAAUUUCCUUCUUGAUGUAUCGAUUGCUGCGCAGAACGAGGUUCGAAAAGAAUAUAAAACUAACCUGGUUUCUCUACGAUCCAAAAUAUUGUUGAUGCAUAUGCAGAAAUACGUGGAAGAGUUCUGGCAUUGUUGCUUUAUUGAUCAUUGCAUUUACCACGGAACACUUUGAUGUCCUUGUAGGAGUGCCAGCUAUCCGGUGAAACGAAGAAUGGGUGAAACUUGAACUGAUCAUUCCC